Molecule: long non-coding RNA, 1120 nt
Organism: Anolis carolinensis (green anole)
Lineage: Eukaryota; Metazoa; Chordata; Lepidosauria; Squamata; Anolidae
Exons: 2
Source: RefSeq, a predicted model, not a curated record
GGAAAGUGAAACCAUCUGGGGAGUAAAUGGCUGACCGGGGCUUCUAACACAGGCUUCCCAUGACUCAGGCAACAGUCCACCCACCACAGGCCACUAUUCAGUUUUAACAUCAUAGACAAGCAUUCCUGUAUUCAGGGUAUUGUGAUGCUUAGGGCAAGAAACACACACAUUUUCAUGCAAACAAACCUGACUGAGGAUCCAGAGGACUGAAAAGAAGAAGCAGAGGCCAUUCCUCCAACAUCAGACAAAUCCAGGCAUUUGCUUCUUCCACAGUCUAGAGUUGCUGUUUUGAGUGAGUGAUCUGUAAUGGGGGCCCAGUCUGUUUGUUCUUCUUCAACACCCAUUUUUUCUCCUGGGAGAAACAGCACAAAACAAAUGUGAGCAAAUAGGCUUAAAUCUGUCUCAGCUGAUUUUUUUACUGCAGCACACCCAUAUUGUUCUGUACAUAACAGAAAACAUUAUGCUUCUCUAGUUUGCACGGUACACAACCCUUGUAAACGUCAUACUUUAAAACUAUUUACUUACAACUAGACUUCAACAACUGUUUCAGUGAUUUCUCCCUGUCUCUUCCCCUCUACUCAAUUUAUCAUUUUUAAACACUAUAAAAACAGGGAGAAGAAAUAAGAAAUUACAAGCAAUGGACUUCUCUCAUGUCUGUUGGGGGAUGAGAACCCCUCCUUUCUGACCUUGAAAUGGAUGUUGGGGAUGUGGCACGGGCUGAAGAGGAUGGCAUGGAGUGGACACGCGCUCCAGAGGAUUGUGAUGGGGAGACUGGGCUCACUGCUGAUGGGGAUGCUGAGGAAACGUGGGGUCCUUCAGGAUCGGACCCAAGGUAGUCUAAUUGGAGGAGUGGGGAUAGUUCCACAGCUGAGGGUAGUCUGGGCGUCGGCAGGGUGGUUUCAACUCAGAUGAGGAAUGGGAACAACCUGUGGGAAGGGCGGUGCCCAGUUCAAGUUCUGAAGACAAAUUGUAAAUAAAUUGUGGGCAUUUGGCCAUUGGGCCCUUGACUGGCAAGGUGGUUGUUGGGCGCCGCAACCGACGUAAGUUUAUUCUGGGUUACCUCUAUGACAGGGGUUGGAACUGUGUGGGUUUUCUUUAGACUGCAUUGUGAUUACUGUCU